This 581-nucleotide ribosomal RNA is filed under the name Pseudobunocephalus amazonicus. Its description in RNAcentral is "partial 16S ribosomal RNA". It matches the Rfam family "Bacterial large subunit ribosomal RNA", at positions 1811 to 2604 of the family's 2925-position model. Lineage: Eukaryota; Metazoa; Chordata; Actinopteri; Siluriformes; Aspredinidae. The record is from RNAcentral.
AAACAUCGCCUCCUGCAACAUCCCGUAUAGGAGGUCUUGCCUGCCCAGUGAUAUAUUAAACGGCCGCGGUAUUUUGACCGUGCGAAGGUAGCGCAAUCACUUGUCUUUUAAAUGAAGACCUGUAUGAAUGGUAGAACGAGGGCUUAACUGUCUCCCUUUUUAAGUUAAUGAAAUUGAUCUGCCCGUGCAGAAGCGGGCAUAAAUAUACAAGACGAGAAGACCCUUUGGAGCUUAAGAUACAGAACCAAAUAUGUAAAAAAUUUAUACAAAAUAAAUUAAACCAAAUUAUUACUGGUCCCUAUCUUCGGUUGGGGCGACCACGGGAGAAAAAAAAGCUCCCAUGCGGACCGGGGCUACCCCCCCUACAGCCAAGAAAGACAUUUCUAAGCAACAGAACAUCUGACCACGCAGAUCCGGCUUUGCCGAUCAACGGACCAAGUUACCCAAGGGAUAACAGCGCAAUCCUCUUCAAGAGCCCAUAUCGACAAGAGGGUUUACGACCUCGAUGUUGGAUCAGGACAUCCUAAUGGUGCAGCCGCUAUUAAGGGUUCGUUUGUUCAACGAUUAAAGUCCUACGUGAU